AUUUAAUCCUCUGGCAGGUACUGGACAGGAUGGGAGACUUCGCCGGCAACAACAGUCAAGCACAGGAGGAUGAGUGUCGGAAGAGGAGGCCGCGGACCGGAGCAAAGAACCGGGAUUUCAAGCAAAAACGUUCGGUUCCACGUCACGUAACUCGGGAAAAGGGAAAAUUAUUCUUCGGAUCAACCGGGAAGAUAAAGUCGAGGUUGGAGCAGAACUCCUCGAAGGAAAUGAGAGAGCGAUGCUGAUAAGACAAGAGCAACGCAUCUCCGGGCCGUUGCCUUGCACAAACUGAUAACAUCAGGCUGCUGAGAGUUCGGCGGCACCAGGAGACUCCGAGUUCUGAAAGGAUGAUUGACGUGCCUUUGCAGCGCGGAACGGGAUGAUGUUCUGAUAUGGGAACAGGACGAGGCAGAAGAAAACAUGUAGACCGGACCAGGGGGGAGGCUGCAUCAGAGGGAGUAGGAUAUUGAUUACUGUGUCGGCCCCGUGAUCUGAACAGUGCGGAAGACAAGAGCUGCCUAAGCAACUGGGUUGUCAAGGUUCCUCCAUCAGCUGCAUCUGGACGUCUUUUAUCUGUUCAGAGCCGUCAGAGUGGGAGAAAAGUUUGUAGAGCUAUAUAUUUUUUUUUUUUACUUAUUUUGUUUGUUUGCCUUCUAAUCACAUCUAAAGUUACACAUUUACUCCUCUGUCUAACAAUAAGAGUGUAGAAACUAUAUUUUGAUUAUUGUAGUCCUCAUUUGCUCUGAGAUAUAAUCUCAUGGGCCUGCUUAGAAAAUUACAAAUUCAUUUUUUUUUCCAUUAUUUAUUUAUUUUGUUGGUUCUUUAUAGAGUUUUUGAGCUGUCGGUGUCCUAUCAGCAGUAUACAUUGUUUAUCUUUGUCUUUGUCUUUUUUUUUUCUUUUUUUUUUGUGAG
Gambusia affinis (western mosquitofish) is the source of this 912-nucleotide long non-coding RNA. RefSeq lists it as uncharacterized. The transcript has 3 exons. NCBI's taxonomy places the organism in Eukaryota, Metazoa, Chordata, Actinopteri, Cyprinodontiformes, Poeciliidae. The record is from RefSeq and is a predicted model, not a curated record.